CCCCAUGCCUCACUUCCCUGAUCUAUAGGCUGCCCCUCAUGCCUCACUUCCCUGAUCUAUAGGCUGCCCCCACGCCUCACUUUCCUGAUCUAUAGGCUAUUUCCCCCCUAUGCCUCACUUCCCUGAUCUAUAGGCUGCCCCAUGCCUCACUUCCCUGAUCUAUAGGCUGCCCCCAUGCCUCACUUCCCUGAUCUAUAGGCU
Molecule: long non-coding RNA, 201 nt
Filed under: Pelobates cultripes (western spadefoot toad)
Lineage: Eukaryota; Metazoa; Chordata; Amphibia; Anura; Pelobatidae
Source: RNAcentral